Long non-coding RNA from Pezoporus flaviventris, 286 nucleotides. RefSeq lists it as uncharacterized. The record is from RefSeq and is a predicted model, not a curated record. The transcript is spliced from 2 exons. Lineage: Eukaryota; Metazoa; Chordata; Aves; Psittaciformes; Psittacidae.
CAUGUAUGUCCAUGUAUGUCCAUGUAUAAGAACGCAGAAUUAAGUAUCUUAAUGACAUAUGGAAUCUUAAGUGCUGAAAAUCAUUGAACAGACUUAGGAACGACCAGAGGACAGACCUCAUAGGCGGUAAAGGUGUAGAUGGAAACUCUGAUACAGGUGGCCUCUCCAAAGGUAGCUAUGGAGUUUUUAUUCAGAUUAAUACAAGUAUCCUGGACUCCUGCUCUAUUAGGCAGAUCUGCAGGAAUGCUUUAGAGAUAUUUAUGUCAUGGGGAGAAAAAAAGAAAAA